This 526-nucleotide ribosomal RNA is filed under the name Weissella confusa. RNAcentral's name for it is "bacterial SSU rRNA". It matches the Rfam family "Bacterial small subunit ribosomal RNA", at positions 48 to 527 of the family's 1533-position model. Lineage: Bacteria; Bacillati; Bacillota; Bacilli; Lactobacillales; Lactobacillaceae. The record is from RNAcentral.
CCUAUACAUGCAAGUCGAACGCUUUGUGGUUCAACUGAUUUGAAGAGCUUGCUCAGAUAUGACGAUGGACAUUGCAAAGAGUGGCGAACGGGUGAGUAACACGUGGGAAACCUACCUCUUAGCAGGGGAUAACAUUUGGAAACAGAUGCUAAUACCGUAUAACAAUGACAACCGCAUGGUUGUUAUUUAAAAGAUGGUUCUGCUAUCACUAAGAGAUGGUCCCGCGGUGCAUUAGCUAGUUGGUAAGGUAAUGGCUUACCAAGGCGAUGAUGCAUAGCCGAGUUGAGAGACUGAUCGGCCACAAUGGGACUGAGACACGGCCCAUACUCCUACGGGAGGCAGCAGUAGGGAAUCUUCCACAAUGGGCGAAAGCCUGAUGGAGCAACGCCGCGUGUGUGAUGAAGGGUUUCGGCUCGUAAAACACUGMUGUAAGAGAAGAAUGACAUUGAGAGUAACUGUUCAAUGUGUGACGGUAUCUUACCAGAAAGGAACGGCUAAAUACGUGCCAGCCCGCCSCGGUAAUACA